This 1086-nucleotide long non-coding RNA is filed under the name Olea europaea (common olive). RNAcentral's name for it is "long non-coding RNA (OEUR_LNC002738)". The record is from RNAcentral. Lineage: Eukaryota; Viridiplantae; Streptophyta; Magnoliopsida; Lamiales; Oleaceae.
CAAUCGCUAUGGGUACCUUUUUCUUUAUAUGCUGGGCUACACGCUGAUGUCGCAGGUGAAGGGAAUUUAAAAUUCAAAAUUUUAAAACAAACCCAAAAUUGUUGGGUCAAGACCUGAACCGACCCAACACUAAAACGAAACAAAACCUCCAUUUCAUUAAUUUCCCCCAAUCCUCUUGAACGACAGAAAAUCCUUGGAGGUGAAUCUGAAGUUCAAAGAUGGCUUCCAUCGCCGCCCGGAACUUCUCCUUUUAAACGCCACCUUUGGAUCCAAUAAAGUCAUCGCCACCCAAACACCACCACCACCACGAACACCACCACUGCACAAUCCCCACCCACGAACUGAAAAACACAUCCAAAAACCCUCAUUAGAUUGUGGAGCUGCAAAUCGACCACAGCAUGUGACAAGGCUUAAUCGACAAUGAGCAUCGCUAUGGGCAGCUUAUCAUGCUUGGGCUGGACUAUCUUUCCACUAAGAAGGGAUGCCCGUUGUGAAGGUUAUAAAUAUCUACACGAAUGCAGAGAGAAGAUGGGCGGCUAAUUUGGGGAAAAGACAUACAUGCAAAGUUGCUGGAGAUAAAAGAUGAGCUGUUAGGAAUUAAAAAGAAGGGAAGCAGACAUAUAUAUGGGAGAUUUGCGACUGUUGAAAAUGAGAAAACAUAGGGUUGCAACUGGGACAAUUAAAAAGCAGUAGAGAGGAGAUGGAAAAUUUUCAAAUUCUUGUAAAUAAAUUUAUCAAUUAUUGUGCAAAAAUUGGGAAAUUAAUCACGUUUCGUCAAAAUUUGUGUUCUUCACUUUUGUAUAUGGGAAGACACUGUAAUUUUCAUCUACUACUAUCAAUGUGACUUUAGUAUUUGUCCUUCAUUUGUUGGUGUUAAAUUUGGUGUUCAUUCGGUUGAUGGUGCUGUUUAGUUUGGUGUUAGUUGUUGGUGUUAAAUUGGUGUUCAUUCUAUUAAAUUUGGUCAUUAUGAACUUAGUAUUGCAGGAAGAAUUUGUUUCUAGUUCUUGUAAAGUAGCCUCUUGUGGUCAUUGUGAAAUUAGUAUUGCAAGAUGAAUUUGGAAUUGCAGGAAGAACAUGCUAUUGCUU